AGUGAACGCUGGCGGUAGGCCUAACACAUGCAAGUCGAACGGCAGCACAGUAAGAGCUUGCUCUUACGGGUGGCGAGUGGCGGACGGGUGAGGAAUACAUCGGAAUCUACUUUUUCGUGGGGGUUAACGUAGGGAAACUUACGCUAAUACCGCAUACGACCUACGGGUGAAAGCAGGGGAUCUUCGGACCUUGCGCGAUUGAAUGAGCCGAUGUCGGAUUAGCUAGUUGGCGGGGUAAAGGCCCACCAAGGCGACGAUCCGUAGCUGGUCUGAGAGGAUGAUCAGCCACACUGGAACUGAGACACGGUCCAGACUCCUACGGGAGGCAGCAGUGGGGAAUAUUGGACAAUGGGCGCAAGCCUGAUCCAGCCAUACCGCGUGGGUGAAGAAGGCCUUCGGGUUGUAAAGCCCUUUUGUUGGGAAAGAAAAGCAGCAGGUUAAUACCCCGCUGUUCUGGCGGUACCCAAAGAAUAAGCACCGGCUAACUUCG
Molecule: ribosomal RNA, 490 nt
Filed under: uncultured bacterium
Lineage: Bacteria
Description: partial 16S ribosomal RNA
Rfam family: Bacterial small subunit ribosomal RNA
Source: RNAcentral